GAUGAACGCUAGCUACAGGCUUAACACAUGCAAGUCGAGGGGCAGCAUGAACUUAGCUUGCUAAGUUUGAUGGCGACCGGCGCACGGGUGAGUAACACGUAUCCAACCUGCCGAUGACUCGGGGAUAGCCUUUCGAAAGAAAGAUUAAUACCCGAUGGCAUAGUUCUUCCGCAUGGUAGAACUAUUAAAGAAUUUCGGUCAUCGAUGGGGAUGCGUUCCAUUAGCUUGUUGGCGGGGUAACGGCCCACCAAGGCAUCGAUGGAUAGGGGUUCUGAGAGGAAGGUCCCCCACAUUGGAACUGAGACACGGUCCAAACUCCUACGGGAGGCAG
This 331-nucleotide ribosomal RNA is filed under the name uncultured Bacteroidota bacterium. RNAcentral describes it as "bacterial SSU rRNA". It matches the Rfam family "Bacterial small subunit ribosomal RNA", at positions 28 to 351 of the family's 1533-position model. The record is from RNAcentral. Lineage: Bacteria; Pseudomonadati; Bacteroidota.